This 245-nucleotide ribosomal RNA is filed under the name uncultured bacterium. RNAcentral describes it as "partial 16S ribosomal RNA". It matches the Rfam family "Bacterial small subunit ribosomal RNA", at positions 524 to 769 of the family's 1533-position model. The record is from RNAcentral.
UACAGAGGUCCCAAGCGUUGUUCGGAUUCACUGGGCGUAAAGGGUGCGUAGGCGGUCGGGUAAGUCUGUCGUGAAAUCUCCGAGCCCAACUCGGAAACUGCGUCGGAUACUAUUCGGCUAGAGGGUUGGAGGGGGACUGGAAUUCUCGGUGUAGCAGUGAAAUGCGUAGAUAUCGAGAGGAACACCAGUGGCGAAGGCGAGUCCCUGGACAACUCCUGACGCUGAGGCACGAAAGCUAGGGGAGC